This 477-nucleotide ribosomal RNA is filed under the name uncultured bacterium. Its description in RNAcentral is "partial 16S ribosomal RNA". It matches the Rfam family "Bacterial small subunit ribosomal RNA", at positions 28 to 506 of the family's 1533-position model. The record is from RNAcentral.
GAUGAACGCUGGCGGCGUGCCUAACACAUGCAAGUCGAACGGAGUCCAGCCUUUAAGACCUUCGGGUCAAAGAGGGGAAGACUGAGUGGCGGACGGGUGAGUAACACGUGGGCAACCUGGCUCAUAGAGGGGGAUAACAGAGAGAAAUUUCUGCUAAUACCGCAUAAGCACACACUGCCGCAUGGCAGAGGGUGAAAAGAGAAUCGCUAUGAGAUGGACCCGCGUCUGAUUAGCCAGUUGGCAGGGUAAGAGCCUACCAAAGCGACGAUCAGUAGCCGAUCUGAGAGGAUGAACGGCCACAUUGGGACUGAGACACGGCCCAAACUCCGACGGGAGGCAGCAGUGGGGGAUAUUGCACAAUGGGGGGAACCCUGAUGCAGCGACGCCGCGUGAGUGAAGAAGUAUUUCGGUAUGUAAAGCUCUAUCAGCAGGGAAGAUAAUGACAGUACCUGAAUAAGAAGCCCCGGCUAACUACGU